GGCAUGAAUACUUUGUUUACUGACUCCUAACAACACAGAAAUUAUAGUCCUACACAUCCUAGUUGUUUCUCUCGUGUAUGGCUUGACAGUACUGUUGACAAUUAUCACAAAAUUAAAAAAGAAAGACCUCGCUACCAAGACGUCGGUAACAAACGGCUGACCCUUUGCAUCGCUCUCUCUACUCGGCUGGAAAUGGAUGAUUGUAUUUUUUUAUGUCGUUUUCGUGUUUUUAUUUCAACCCUUUUAUGAAUUUUUGAUCAAACAAAAAUAUCAAAAAGGUGGUGGUGGUGGUGGCAUGGGGCAGUGGGGGGUGGUGUGGGGGGCGGGGGGCGGCGAUGAAGAGGCGUCUAGUACACCACCUCACUCAUCUUAUUUAUUCAUGUUAUUCAUACAAAACAUUGACGGGCAGACCACUCGAACCACUCACCUGCUGGCUGCUCGGUGGCUGGCUGACCAGGCUGGCGUGCGAGGGUCCCCAGCUCUCCUAAAAAAGUAUGUACAAUAUGUAUGUAUGAAUGUAUGUACGUCUGUGGGCUCCUCCGCACACACGACUGACUCAGCGCUAUGAGACACAUAUGAUACAAUGUCUUAGGUGUGUGGAUGAGGAGGGGGGGGGGAAGGGCUGGAAGAGGAAGGGAGGGAGAGGGGCAAGAUAGGGUCAGUUCUUACCCUACUCUUGCCCUCCUUACCCAUACCCCCUCCCGUGACCUGCCCUGACCCCACACAAGACGGGAAGGUAAGUUCGUAUCACCAGAGGCGGCUCUCAAAGUCGACAAAAAGGAGCGACGGAUCAGAGGUGGAAAAAUGCAACGGCGGCGGCGGCAGCAACGGCGAAGCUGGCGGCUGUUUAUCCCCCUUACAGAAAAUACAAAGUUGAUGGUCAAGCGGCCAGGACCCACAAAACUGGCCCUGCGGCAACCCAGAGGCAAGGGAACAGUGCCUAGGUGACCCCCUGGUGCCAAAUGAGGGGAUGAGGAGGUUUAGGGGGGAGUAGGGGGUCACUGUGGCACCUCAGAGGCAGGGGAAACAGUGCCUAGAUGAACCCCCCCGUGCCAGAAUAGGGGGGUGAGGGGGUGGCUAGGGGGGAAGGGGAAGCCUCUGAGUGGGGAACGGACAGGUGAAGAAACAUACUGGUGGCAGCAGCAGCGGCAGCGGACUCAAAAAAUCGACCAAUAUGUACAUUUUGUGACGAGUCCUCUCUGUACACCAGCAAAAACCUACACGUGUGCGCGCUCGCCGCCUCCACGCACACGCUGUGACUGCAUGGCUGACCUCCGCCUGGGUGUUCUCGGUUAGCUUGAGGAGGGGAAGGGAGAGGAGGGGGGAAGGAGGGGGGUCAGGUCAGGCUGGGUCAUCUUAGGUCAUUGGCACUGUGAAGGUUGUUGUUGUUGGCACUCCACUCUACUCUAGUGCUGUGUGUAUAUAUGUAUGUACGUAUGUAUAAAUGUAUGUGUGUGUAUGUAUAUAUCACUCAAUUAAUCAAUCACUGUGUGGGGGGGUAUGUAUAAAUGUAUGUGUAUGUAUUUGUAAAUGUGCAUUGUAUCAUCAGUGUACAUUAUUUUACAUGUGUUUGUGUGUAUGUGUGUGUGUGUGUGUAUUUACCUAGUUGUAGUUUUACAGGGCCUGGGCUAACGCUCGUGUGGUCCCAUCUCCGUAUCUGUAUUUGUCCAACUUUUCCUUGUGUGUGUGUGUGUGUGUGUGUGUGUGUGUGUGUGUGCACAGGACACGCAACCUCCUCCUCCUUCACUUCUUUACACAACACUUCGGUGGGCGGGUCGGGCGGAAGCUUGCAUCCCACAUGGCUACAUAAACAGUGCUCGAAAAUUAGUCUAGGCUACAAACAUGGACCUCACCCCACCCAACACCGCACACCUGCCUCACCUGGGCUCACUAACAUCCGACAAUUAACCCCCCCCGAGACACCUAAUACAAACCUGACUCUUAUUACCCUCACACCUGCCUAAUCUGAGCUUGUUAAACCUGAUAAAUGACCUUCAUAAGACACCUGGCACACCUGACACCACCCUCACACCUGCCUGCUCAUUAACCUGGCAUUUACCUUCAUACCUUUUCUAUCACACCUGAAUGAUCAAAUCCACACCUGACCUUCAUAACUUUCCAAAAUACACAUGACUUACCACCUGGAUUUCUUUGACACCUGCCCAACCUGAGCUCAUUAACACCUGACAAUCUUCAUACUUUUUCUAUACAACUGACACACACACACACACACGCACACACACACGACUCUUACUACACCUACAUACUUGCUCUUUAUAAACACCGGACUAACUAACACCUGACAACUUCCCUAAACACACCUCUGACCCUCACAAAACACACCUGUCUGCUUACACCUUGCCUCGUUAACACCUGAUUCGUUACACCAUUACCACACCUGACCUUCGUUUAUACCUGGAGAAGCCUAACGAGUAUACAUCACACCUGAGGAACCUGCACUUUACCUAUACCUGUUCUUCAUAUGAUUUUAAUACCUGGUGUGAGGAGAGGAUAAUAUCUAUGGAUUUAAGAAGCCACGGAUAUCUUGAGGUGAUAGCAAGUGAAUUCAAGGCUCUUCCUAUCCUCUCUUCCUUCCUAUUUGGCCUUUCUCUUUCUCCUAAUCCUUCUUCUUUUCCCUCGUUCGCUUUCUUCCUUAUACAAUAGCAGCAAGCAUGGGUAUUCCUGGCUCUUCCUAUCCUCUCUUCCUUCCUAUCAGCCUUUCUCUUUCUCCUAAUCCUUCUUCCUUUUCCUCAUUCCCUUUCUUCCUCAUACAACAGCAGCAAGCAUGUCUAUUCCUUUCUAUUGUCCUUCCCCUCCCUUUCCUUCUUUCUUACACUCCUAAAAAAUCUUCCCAGCAACAAAAUUUAGACCAGCCAGCAAGUAUUUAUCCCCCUACUCCCUCUCCCUCCCUUGAUCCUUCUUCCUCUCCCUCUCUCUCUCCCCGUCUCUCAUACACACAUCUGAAUCACCACCACAUAACCAGGAGCGGAAAGCAAGCAUCAGACACAGGGAAACAACAACUCUGGAAAACUAACGGUUAUCUACGCCGGCAAAACUCUAGUAGUCGUAGUAAUAGGAGUGAUUUGUUUUUACAUCUAGAAUGGGCGAUGCAAGUCUCCCGCCGAGCCGCCCACCAGCGAGACGCACCCAUCGACUGCUUGUGGCUCUGAGGGUGAUGAUGGGCCUUGAAUAUGGUGAGGUUAAUGGUGAGGGUAGCAGAGGAAGUGGCUACAGUGUGUCGACCAGGAUUGUGAGGUACCAGGGGGAGGUAACUUUCAAUGUCGGAUAUUUCUGCACCUACGAUUCUAACUUUCGCCCCUGCAAGAACGAGUGAGAGAGAAAGGGAGUUAAUAGGGUAAUGAAAUGUGCCGAUGGGGGUAAACAGAGAAAGGAAAGAAAAGAUGGAAGUAAAAAGGAAGAAUGAGAAAGUUAAUCAAUGGGGUAAACAGAGAAGGGAAAGAAAAGAAGGAAGUGAAAAGGAAGAAUAAGAAAGUUAAUAGUGAGAAAAUGUGCCAAUGGGGGUAAACAGAAAAAGGGAAGAAAAGAAGGAAGUGAAAAGAAAGAAUGGGAGAGUUAACAGAGUAAGAAAACGUGGUAAUGAAGGCAAACAGUAAAGGGGAAACAAAAGAAUAAAGCGAAGAAAAAGAAUGAGAGAUUUAAGAGUAAGAAAACGUGGUAAUGAAGGAAAACAGUAAAGGGGUAACAAAAGAAGGAAGUGAAGGGAAAGAAUGAAAGAGUUAACAAAGUAAGAAAACUUGGUGAUGAAGGCAAAUAGUAAAGUAAAUGAAAAGAAGAGAGGAAUUUAAAGACAGAAAAAAUGCUAUGAAGAAACCAGUAUAUAAGAUUGUGUAAGUCGUCACAGGAUAUCGAAUUUGCCUGACGUCACCUCCACCAUAUGCUUUACCUAUAAACGCCUGUGAACCUAUAAACGCCUGACUCCUCUCUCGACGUAGGCUAAAGAAACAAGUGUAUAAGAUUGUGUAAGUCAGUCACAGGAUAUUGAAUUUGCCUGACGUCACCUCCACCAUAUGCUUCACCUAUAAACGCCUGACU
This is a long non-coding RNA of Eriocheir sinensis (Chinese mitten crab), 4053 nucleotides long. RefSeq lists it as uncharacterized. The record is from RefSeq and is a predicted model, not a curated record. NCBI's taxonomy places the organism in Eukaryota, Metazoa, Arthropoda, Malacostraca, Decapoda, Varunidae. The transcript has 2 exons.